Molecule: transfer RNA, 99 nt
Filed under: Colletotrichum chlorophyti
Lineage: Eukaryota; Fungi; Ascomycota; Sordariomycetes; Glomerellales; Glomerellaceae
Rfam family: tRNA
About the family: Transfer RNA (tRNA) molecules are approximately 80 nucleotides in length. Their secondary structure includes four short double-helical elements and three loops (D, anti-codon, and T loops).
Source: Rfam by way of RNAcentral
UCUUCGAUAGUCUAAUGGUCAGGAUAUCUGCUUGUCAUCACAACGAGGAAUUCCUCGACGGUUUCGCAGGGGAUCGGGGUUCAAUUCCCCGUCGAAGAG